This 663-nucleotide long non-coding RNA is filed under the name Eucalyptus grandis. Its description in RNAcentral is "long non-coding RNA (EGRA_LNC002827)". The record is from RNAcentral. Lineage: Eukaryota; Viridiplantae; Streptophyta; Magnoliopsida; Myrtales; Myrtaceae.
CAAAGGCAUAUAUCACCAUUCUCCAAGAGAAAUUUGACCUAGAGCUAGCGACUUUGACAUAUUUUCCUCUUCAUGGUAUCAACUACUGUUGUUGGUAUUUGUCAUUAGCUUAAUCAAUGUUUGGGUUGUAUAUAUAAGCAUUGAAAGAUGCAAUUUAUCUGCAGAUAAUCCUGUGGAAGACGAUGAUGUUAGGGAAAUUAAUGCUCGUCUACUAAAUUAGUUAACCAAAUGACGGUGGCACUCUUUUAGUGAUUAUUUCAGGUAGUAAAUCCUGUUUAAGCGCCCAAUUAAUGUCACUUCUAGUAAAUGUGUUAAUAUAUGUAGCAAUGCUCCUCCCAAUUAUAAAGACAAAGAAAGACUUCAAAAGAACAUAGAAGCAUGCUCUCACCAGAGAGGGAGGGAGAGAGACGUGAUUGCAAACUGACAUGGGUCGUAGGGCUUUAUCAUUCUUCAAUAAAUUGGUCGAAUGAAUAAUUUACAAUCAAGACAUGCAUGUUGUCCACCUGCCUCCUUUAGUCUACUACUCAAGAACUGAAUGACCCGGCAAAGAUUAUUAAGAAAUGAAAAGGCGCUUGGAGCGAGACCCUUUCCUGGUGGAGAUGACCGUAUCUUCAGCAGCUCAUAAGUCGGUCUGAUAAUUGUCAGGCUUGUACCACAACGAAA